Long non-coding RNA from Balaenoptera acutorostrata (minke whale), 2419 nucleotides. RefSeq lists it as uncharacterized. The transcript has 3 exons. Lineage: Eukaryota; Metazoa; Chordata; Mammalia; Artiodactyla; Balaenopteridae. The record is from RefSeq and is a predicted model, not a curated record.
GCAUACACUGGGGAGGACACACAUAGCAUGAGAAGGCCCCCAGGGGCCACAUGCCUUCCUCCCACCCCACCUCUCCCCGUCCCCCCCCCCUCCCCAGGCUGAGGAGCUUCCCUAGGUGCUUGGUUGGUUUCUGCAGGGUCCCUGAGGUUAGGGGAUAUCAGCUUCAUUGAAUACACACCUCCUGUGCCAUUCCUCACAGAAGUUUCAGGAUGGGGGGUGCAUAUUGGCAGCUGACGGCCCUGAUCUGGUAGGCCAGUAUGUUUCGUUUGACAGUUCGAUGGUUUGCCAACAUCUGACAAGGUUUUACAUCAAACUCUCCUGCCAGCUUAUCACAAGGUGCGGCCACCCUGGACCUACAUUCCUACAGAGCAACAGGGGCAGAGGCGCCCUAUAGAUAAAGCUCACAAGCCGGAAAACAAGUAUUCCCUUUGGCAGCUGAGCCCUUGCUCUAGAAAAAUGGAUCAUCUUGCGGGGGGAAUCCCAUGCCUGCUCCCCUCUCACGCCUGCUCGGUCCUCCCCACAGGGUCUUGCAGACCCAAAUGUGAUGGGACUCAGUCUGAGGCAGGAGCUUGGGAGCCUCAGCGUUCACUCGCCUCAGCCAAGCGGCAAAGUGUCUCCUGUAGUGUUUCCCACUUGGGGGCUGCACCCACCCCGCCCCCGCCUGGUUCUAGGCUUGACAGCUCAAGGGCAAAUCCUCCUCCUCUCCCUGUCACCUUCCUCCCCAGGCAAGAGGCUGGGUUCUGGUGGCUGCUUUGAGGCAAAAGUCACAGGCCUGGGCAAGUCACUUCCUCCCCGGGACUCCAGCAGGAAGAUGGAGUGGGGAGAUGGGCUCAGAAAGCUCCCUUCACCUCUGAUUCAGUUGGGAAGCAGAAGGCUCAGUGCUCAGCCCCACCCCACCCAGCCCCGAAGAAGCCCUUCAGCGGCUCAGCUGAUUGCCCUUUUAUAUUUAACUGUGGGAGAUGCUGCUCCAGGACAGCUCAGCAGGACUGUGGCUGUGACAGAAACAACAGGGCCUCCGGCAGGGAGUUAACGGGACCUCGGUUUGGGGUAACAGGGUCUCAGGAUGGAGGAAGUGGGGCCCUGGGACUGGCAUUUGCAGUCCUGGUCCCAGCCUUAAUUAGUGGGGUAACUGCGAACUUGUUUGCAGCCCUUGGGGAUUCCACCCGACCUGUGAAAUGACCAACACCCACCGCCCGAGCAGUAAGCAAGAAGCUCUCACUAAAAAUGAUGAGAGGGAGAGGGGAUGGCCAGCACGGGCCUCCAGAGAGCAGUGGAUUUCUUUUUUCAGGGCCGCGAUGAAGCAGGUUGCCCACCGCUGAGUUCAGUGACCGUAAAGUUAGCCAGCACGGACUGAGACGCGGCCCCGUGCUGGGCCUGCAUUCACAGUGCUCCCUUGAUGCUCACGACGCCCCCACGACGGCGGGACCCUUGCAGAGAAGGAAACCAGCGGCUCGUCUGAGGUCACAUGGUAUUUCCAUCACGUAAUUCACUCACUCUCUCCCGCCACGGGGGAUUCUAUUGCCCAGAAGGGUUCCAGGAUAUAGCCCAUGGGUUCUGAAGGAUCGACCUCAGUUUGGGACUCCAUCUCUUCCACACACACGGGUCCUAUCGCCCCAAAGCGUUCCAUCCCAGAGGAAGAGGCCCUUGAAGGCGAAAGUGCCUACAACCCAUAAAAGUCACAGUAUGGCCCUGGUUCUCUGCCCACCAGGGUCCCCUAUGCAAGUUUCACGGCAUAGCUAGUGCCUCCUUUAGGUGCCGCCCGGCACUCUGUGCCCCGCGAGUGCUGUAUCUCAGGGACAUCUGCACACCCGCCUGUACACCAACAAAGCUCUAUCCAGAGCUCAGCACCCCAUGCCACAUGCCCCUAGGAGAAGGUUCUAGCAUGUAAACCAGCGGUUCUCAAAGUGUGGUCCUGUCUGGGAGGCCAAGCCGCUCUACUGAUAACACUAAGCCAUUGUUUGCCCUUCUCACUCUCCUUCGCCAGUAGAGGUGCAGGCAGGGGAGCUUUCCACAGGCUCCAUCACAUGUGAUGAUGUCAUUUGCUCUGAUGGUAACGGACCGUGUGCUUGUGUGCCAGAUUCAAUUUCUAAUAUGUUAAACAACUAUAAAUAUAACCCACAAAAACUUAAACAAAACUUCUUUGAGACCCUCAAUAAUCUUUUAGAGUGUAAGUGGGUCCUACGACUAAACUUGAGACAUGCUGAUGUAGAUUGUGCAUUUUACCAAAGAACACACAGAGUUCUCUGGGUCACUGGUGCAUGCAUUCUGUCACCCAGACAUGAACCCUGUUGCAUGAUCUGAGCAUCCUGGAGCGUGCUCCCCCAUCAUGUGCUCGUUCACACAUGUGUUACCUUGCAUCAUGCAUGGGAUGAUGGCAACGUGCGACCUGGCAGCAUCUCACAUACAGCACACACCACGC